CCUACGGGUGGCAGCAGUGGGGGAUAUUGCACAAUGGGCGAAAGCCUGAUGCAGCGACGCCGCGUGAGGGAAGACGGUCUUCGGAUUGUAAACCUCUGUCUUUGGGGAGGAAGUCAGACGGUACCCAAACAGGAAGCUCCGGCUAACUACGUGCCAGCAGCCUCGGUAAUACGUAGGGAGCGAGCGUUGUCCGGAAUUACGGGGUGGAAAGGGAGCGUAGGGGGGCUUGUAAGUUGAAUGGCAAUUCCACCGGGUCAACCGGUGAUCGCGUUCAAAACUGGAGGUCUUGAGUGAAGUAGAGGCAGGCGGAAUUCCUAGUGUAGCGGUGAAAUGCGUAGAGAUUAGGAGGAACACCAGUGGCGAAGGCGGCCUGCUGGGCUUUAACUGACGCUGAGGCUCGAAAGCGUGGGGAGCAAACAGGAUUAGAUACCCGAGUAGUC
This 440-nucleotide ribosomal RNA is filed under the name uncultured bacterium. RNAcentral's name for it is "partial 16S ribosomal RNA". It matches the Rfam family "Bacterial small subunit ribosomal RNA", at positions 338 to 795 of the family's 1533-position model. The record is from RNAcentral.